GACGAACGCUGGCGGCGUGCUUAACACAUGCAAGUCGAACGGAAAGGCCCUGCUUUUGUGGGGUGCUCGAGUGGCGAACGGGUGAGUAACACGUGUGUAACCUGCCCUUGACUUUGGGAUAACUUCAGGAAACUGGGGCUAAUACCGGAUAGGAGCUCCUGCUGCAUGGUGGGGGUUGGAAAGUUUCGGCGGUUGGGGAUGGACUCGCGGCUUAUCAGCUUGUUGGUGGGGUAGUGGCUUACCAAGGCUUUGACGGGUAGCCGGCCUGAGAGGGUGACCGGCCACAUUGGGACUGAGAGACGGCCCAGACUCCUACGGGAGGCAGCAGUGGGGAAUAUUGCACAAUGGGCGGAAGCCUGAUGCAGCAACGCCGCGUGCGGGAUGACGGCCUUCGGGGUGUAAACCGCUUUCGCCUGUGACGAAGCGUGAGUGACGGUAAUGGGUAAAGAAGCACCGGCUAACUACGUG
This 468-nucleotide ribosomal RNA is filed under the name uncultured bacterium. RNAcentral describes it as "partial 16S ribosomal RNA". It matches the Rfam family "Bacterial small subunit ribosomal RNA", at positions 28 to 507 of the family's 1533-position model. The record is from RNAcentral.